CUGGCCUGGGCGGAGUGCGGGGCCGACAUCUGCGGAGGGUUAGGAGGGGAAAGGUUUUUUCUACCCGCCGGCUCGGCGACCAGGCUGAAACUCAUGUUUGAAUUUAGUGAGCCGUUUGUUCGUUAGUCCGGAACACUAGCGCGGUAGGCCAAGCUGCGAGGAGGCGGCGAAAUCAGCGAAUAGCAAAUUAUAAAAGAAACAAGGCUUUAUCUCCUAGGCCCUCUAAAGCAUCCCCAGGAGAUCCGUAUCCCCGUUUUGGAGAGAACGCUGAAGCUCAGAAAAACUCAGUGGAAAGCGGCAGACCCAAGCCUCCUCGCCAAGUCUGAGUGACCGUGAAGCCCUGGUUUUUCCUUCUUUUUCUUUCUUUUUGUACUUUUUUUUUUUUUUUGGUAGAGUCGGGCUGUUGCCCGGCCUGGUCUCAAACUCCUCUAACUCAAACUAAAAAGCCAUCCUCCGGCCUCGUCCUGCCAAAGUGCUGAGAUCACAGGCAUAACCUGCCGCGCCCGGCCCAAGUCCCUAUUUUUCUUUCCAGGCUUCCUAAGUUCAUUUAAAGGCGAAUUUAUCUAUUAGUAAUGACGGCUGACGAGUGAUGGCAGAGUGGACAGGUGUAAUGGAGAGAUGAAAAAUGAACCUUCGCCUGUAAUCCCAGCGCUUUGGGAGGCUGAGGCGGGAGGAUCACCUGAGGCCAGGUAUUUGAGACUAGCAUGGGCAACAAAUUGAGACCCCAUGUAUCCAAUUUUUGUGUUUUUUUUAAUGUGGUGUGGUGGCGUGUGCCUGUGGUCCCUGCUACUCCAAAGGCUAAGGUGGGAGGAUCACUUGAACCCAUGUUGAGGCUUCAGUGAGCUAUGAUUGCACCACUGCACUCCAGACUGGGUAAUAGAGACCCUGUCUCUAAAAAAAAAAAAAAAAAAAAAUUAAAACUUAAAUUUUUAAAAAUUGAAAAAUUAACCUGAUAGGGGAAAUUUUAAAAAUCAGAAGUCUAUGUCAGUCGCGGUGGCUCAUGCCUGUAAUCCCAACACAUUGGGAGGCCGGGGCGGGCAGAUUGCCUGAGGUCAGGAGUUCGAAACCAGUCUGGCCAACAUGGUGAAACCCCGUCUCUACUAAAAAUACAAAAAAAUUAGCCGGGCGUGGUGGCAUGUGCCUGUGAUUCUAGCUACUCGGGAGGCUGAGGCAGGAGAAUGGCGUGAACCCAGGAGGCGGAGCUUGCAGUGAGCCGAGAUCGCGCCACUGCACUCCAGCCUGGGCGAGAGUGAGACUCAGUCUCAAAAAAAAAAAAAAAAAAAAGAAGCCUCAGGACACAUUGGUAAAAUUUCUCACAUAAGUAUGACACACCUGGGCCGGGCGCGGUGGCUCACGUCUGUAAUCCCAGCACUUUGGGAGGCCGAGGCGGGUGGAUCACGAGGUCAGGAGACCGAGACCAUCCUGGCUAACACGGUGAAACCCCAUCUCUACUAAAAAUACAAAAAAAAAUUAGCUGGGCGUGGUGGCGGGCGCCUGUAGUCCCAGCUACACGUAAGGCUGAGGCAGGAGAAUGGCGUGAACCCGGGAGGCCGAGCUUGCAGUGAGCCGAGAUCGUGCUACUGCACUCCAGCCUGGGCAACAGAGCUAGACUCCAUCUCAAAAAAAGAAAGGAUUCUCCACCGGGCGCGGUGGCUCACGCCUGUAAUCCCAGCACUUUGGGAGGCCAAGGCAGGCGGAUCACCUGAGGUCAGGAGUUCAAGACCAGCCUGGCCAACAUGGUAAAACCCUGUCUCUACUAAAAAAUACAAAAAUUAGCCAGGUGGCGUAGUGGCGCACACCCGUAAUCCCAGCUACUCGGGAGGCUGUGGCAGGAGAAUCUCUUGAACUUGAGAGGUGGAGGUUGCUGUGACAAAAGAGCAAGACUCCGUCUCAAAAAAAAAAACAACAAGAAAAUAGGAUUCUACAUAUUAAAUCGCUACAGACACUGCUGCAGAAAGCCAUUCCCUGCAGAAAAAAGAGGGCACAGUCAUUUCCCCAGCCAUGGAAGUUUCUUCCUUGGUGGAUCCGUGGUUCUGAACUCAACUCUGGUAGCACAUCAGAAUACUUGAGAAUAUUUUAGAAAGAAAGAGUUGCAUAAUAGCCCUAAACUGGAAACACAAAAAUUAGGGCCGGGCGCAGUGACUCACGCCUGUAAUCCCAGCACUUUGGAAGGCCAAGGCAGGCGGAUCACGAAGUCAGGAGUUCAAGACCAGCCUGGCCAAUAUGGUGAAACCCCAUCUCUACUAAAAAUACAAAAAAAAAAAAAAAAAAAAUAGCCAGGUGUGGUGGCGCACGCCUGUAAUCCCAGCUACUUGGGAGGCUGAGGCAGGAGAAUCACUUGAACCAGGGAGGUGAAGGUUGCAGUGAGCAGAGAUCGCACCACUGCACUCCAGCCUGGGCAACAGAGUGAGACUCGUCUCAAAAGAAAAACAAAUUUUGGUACAUCCAUCCAUGCAACAGAAUAGUAACAACUACCAAUACACCCAUGACUGAAUCUCCAAAACAUUAUGCUGAGUGAAAGAAGCCAGACAUCAGGAGAUGUCCAGCAUGAUUCCAUUCAUAUGAAACUCCAGAGCAAGCAAAACCAACCUAUACAGACAAUGCAGAUUAGUGGAUGUCUGGGGCUGGAGAGGGAGGUGGAAAUUGACUGGGAAGAGAGAGAAGGAAUGCUUUGGGGUGAUGGAAAUGUGGCCAUCCAGUCCACCAGCCGGUGCACUCCAGCCUGGGUGACAAAGGGAGACUCUGUCUCAAAAAAAAAAAAAAAAUGUCAGGUGUGGUGGCUCAUGCCUAUAAUCCCAGCACUUUGGGAGGCCAAGGGGGGAGUAUCGCUUGAGCCAGGAGUUCAAGAUUAGCCUGGGCAAUAAAGGGUAACCCCAUCUCUACAAAAAAUACAAAAAUUAGCUGAGUGUGGUGGCAUGCGCCUAUAGCGCUAGCUACUUGGGGGACUGAGGUGGGAGAGUCACUUGAGCCUGAAAGAUCGAGCCUGCAAUGAGUUUUGAUCAUGCCACUGCACUCCAGCCUGGGUGACAGAGUGAGACCCUGUCUCAAAAAAAUAUAUGGGCAGAUGCCAAGUUACAGCCUGUGCAGCAUAGUGAAACCCUGUCUCUAAAUAAUAAUAAAAAUAAUAUAGAUGCUCAGGCUUCACCAGAGACCAAUUAUCAAAUUAUCUGGGCUGGGGUCUGGCCAUCAGUAUUACUUGAAAGUUCUCCAAGUGGUGGGCUGGGCACGGUGGCUCACGCCUGUAAUCCCAGCAGUUUGGGAGGCUGAGGUGGGCAGAUCACAAGGUCAGGCGUUCGAGACCAGCGUGACCAACAUUGUGAAACCCCAUCUCUACUAAAAAUACAAAAAUUAGUCAGGUGUAGUGGCGCGUGCCUGUAAUCCCAGUUACUCAGGAGGCUGAGGCAGGAGAAUUACUUGAACCCAGGAGGUGGAGGUUGCAGCGAGCUGAGACCAUGCCACUGCACUCUAGCCUGGGCAACAGAGUGAGACUCUGCCUCAAAAACAGAAAAGAAAAGAAAAGAAAGUUCUUCAAGUGGUAAUUUUUUGUAGCCAGGGAUGUAGGGAUGUGAACCACAGGACCCUCCCUGUUCUCAAGGUAUAG
RNAcentral lists this long non-coding RNA (3601 nucleotides) under Homo sapiens (human). Its description in RNAcentral is "non-protein coding lnc-RPS16-4:2". The record is from RNAcentral. Lineage: Eukaryota; Metazoa; Chordata; Mammalia; Primates; Hominidae.